Molecule: unclassified non-coding RNA, 20 nt
Filed under: Chlamydomonas reinhardtii
Lineage: Eukaryota; Viridiplantae; Chlorophyta; Chlorophyceae; Chlamydomonadales; Chlamydomonadaceae
Description: small RNA Cre_3623
Source: RNAcentral
UGUGUAGGGGUUAACGUUGA